This 2338-nucleotide ribosomal RNA is filed under the name Staphylococcus aureus VET0095R. Its description in RNAcentral is "bacterial LSU rRNA". It matches the Rfam family "Bacterial large subunit ribosomal RNA", at positions 3 to 2339 of the family's 2925-position model. Lineage: Bacteria; Bacillati; Bacillota; Bacilli; Caryophanales; Staphylococcaceae. RNAcentral also lists the same sequence under 3 other names. The record is from RNAcentral.
UUAAGUUAUUAAGGGCGCACGGUGGAUGCCUUGGCACUAGAAGCCGAUGAAGGACGUUACUAACGACGAUAUGCUUUGGGGAGCUGUAAGUAAGCUUUGAUCCAGAGAUUUCCGAAUGGGGAAACCCAGCAUGAGUUAUGUCAUGUUAUCGAUAUGUGAAUACAUAGCAUAUCAGAAGGCACACCCGGAGAACUGAAACAUCUUAGUACCCGGAGGAAGAGAAAGAAAAUUCGAUUCCCUUAGUAGCGGCGAGCGAAACGGGAAGAGCCCAAACCAACAAGCUUGCUUGUUGGGGUUGUAGGACACUCUAUACGGAGUUACAAAGGACGACAUUAGACGAAUCAUCUGGAAAGAUGAAUCAAAGAAGGUAAUAAUCCUGUAGUCGAAAAUGUUGUCUCUCUUGAGUGGAUCCUGAGUACGACGGAGCACGUGAAAUUCCGUCGGAAUCUGGGAGGACCAUCUCCUAAGGCUAAAUACUCUCUAGUGACCGAUAGUGAACCAGUACCGUGAGGGAAAGGUGAAAAGCACCCCGGAAGGGGAGUGAAAUAGAACCUGAAACCGUGUGCUUACAAGUAGUCAGAGCCCGUUAAUGGGUGAUGGCGUGCCUUUUGUAGAAUGAACCGGCGAGUUACGAUUUGAUGCAAGGUUAAGCAGUAAAUGUGGAGCCGUAGCGAAAGCGAGUCUGAAUAGGGCGUUUAGUAUUUGGUCGUAGACCCGAAACCAGGUGAUCUACCCUUGGUCAGGUUGAAGUUCAGGUAACACUGAAUGGAGGACCGAACCGACUUACGUUGAAAAGUGAGCGGAUGAACUGAGGGUAGCGGAGAAAUUCCAAUCGAACCUGGAGAUAGCUGGUUCUCUCCGAAAUAGCUUUAGGGCUAGCCUCAAGUGAUGAUUAUUGGAGGUAGAGCACUGUUUGGACGAGGGGCCCCUCUCGGGUUACCGAAUUCAGACAAACUCCGAAUGCCAAUUAAUUUAACUUGGGAGUCAGAACAUGGGUGAUAAGGUCCGUGUUCGAAAGGGAAACAGCCCAGACCACCAGCUAAGGUCCCAAAAUAUAUGUUAAGUGGAAAAGGAUGUGGCGUUGCCCAGACAACUAGGAUGUUGGCUUAGAAGCAGCCAUCAUUUAAAGAGUGCGUAAUAGCUCACUAGUCGAGUGACACUGCGCCGAAAAUGUACCGGGGCUAAACAUAUUACCGAAGCUGUGGAUUGUCCUUUGGACAAUGGUAGGAGAGCGUUCUAAGGGCGUUGAAGCAUGAUCGUAAGGACAUGUGGAGCGCUUAGAAGUGAGAAUGCCGGUGUGAGUAGCGAAAGACGGGUGAGAAUCCCGUCCACCGAUUGACUAAGGUUUCCAGAGGAAGGCUCGUCCGCUCUGGGUUAGUCGGGUCCUAAGCUGAGGCCGACAGGCGUAGGCGAUGGAUAACAGGUUGAUAUUCCUGUACCACCUAUAAUCGUUUUAAUCGAUGGGGGGACGCAGUAGGAUAGGCGAAGCGUGCGAUUGGAUUGCACGUCUAAGCAGUAAGGCUGAGUAUUAGGCAAAUCCGGUACUCGUUAAGGCUGAGCUGUGAUGGGGAGAAGACAUUGUGUCUUCGAGUCGUUGAUUUCACACUGCCGAGAAAAGCCUCUAGAUAGAAAAUAGGUGCCCGUACCGCAAACCGACACAGGUAGUCAAGAUGAGAAUUCUAAGGUGAGCGAGCGAACUCUCGUUAAGGAACUCGGCAAAAUGACCCCGUAACUUCGGGAGAAGGGGUGCUCUUUAGGGUUAACGCCCAGAAGAGCCGCAGUGAAUAGGCCCAAGCGACUGUUUAUCAAAAACACAGGUCUCUGCUAAACCGUAAGGUGAUGUAUAGGGGCUGACGCCUGCCCGGUGCUGGAAGGUUAAGAGGAGUGGUUAGCUUCUGCGAAGCUACGAAUCGAAGCCCCAGUAAACGGCGGCCGUAACUAUAACGGUCCUAAGGUAGCGAAAUUCCUUGUCGGGUAAGUUCCGACCCGCACGAAAGGCGUAACGAUUUGGGCACUGUCUCAACGAGAGACUCGGUGAAAUCAUAGUACCUGUGAAGAUGCAGGUUACCCGCGACAGGACGGAAAGACCCCGUGGAGCUUUACUGUAGCCUGAUAUUGAAAUUCGGCACAGCUUGUACAGGAUAGGUAGGAGCCUUUGAAACGUGAGCGCUAGCUUACGUGGAGGCGCUGGUGGGAUACUACCCUAGCUGUGUUGGCUUUCUAACCCGCACCACUUAUCGUGGUGGGAGACAGUGUCAGGCGGGCAGUUUGACUGGGGCGGUCGCCUCCUAAAAGGUAACGGAGGCGCUCAAAGGUUCCCUCAGAAUGGUUGGAAAUC